AAUGACAUCCCCGAGGCAGGUGCCAUCCAUCAGGAGAUCACUUCAUGUCGCUUCCCUUCCGCUGUAACGCCUGUGCAACAGCAGUGACCACUUCUCACAGGUGCAGUAACCGCCAUAACUUAUUACUGAUGCUCCACCGAUGAGUCAGCAGCCAACCCUGGCACAGAACAACCAGGUCACUUAAACAUGAAGCGCCAAGGCUAGCCCGACAGGUACCCAAGGUCUGAUAACCUGCGGUCAGAACAGCCCACAACCCCACAGUGUGGUUAGGAAAGCAUUACCAACAGAACGCCGUCUGCCGGAGUGACUCCUACGUCCCAUGGCUGUCCUGGUUUCCUAGGUGACAGGGAGGUCCUAUUUGCCAGUCCCGGUUCACCUGUUCACUAGCGUUUCUAGUGGGUCCAUUUGCCACCGUAACGGAGUAGGAAGUAAGGCAAGAAAGCCUCUUACAGGCCAAGUGAACAAGCAUGAUAAUCCCCUCUGUGUCUGCUCUGCAACUACCGCUAAUCCAUACUCUGAUAAUCCUACAGGUGAGUCUUCAUAAUACUCAUGAACACACAUCUCGCUAAUGUAUACAUAGGCACAUAUACACGCAUAUAUACGCACAUUGACAGUGUAUCAUACACACACUCUCUUACACGCAAAAGGUGAACAUACAACUCUUUACGCUGGAACACAUGCAAGGCCCCUACAUGCAGCUACUCCCCUGCCCACAGUCACAUGUUUGCAGCAGUGUUCAUGUACAUGCUCUUUUCAGGCAUGCCAUGUCCAUACAUGCAUGUGUUGUGUGUUCUACAGCAUGCGUGUGUUUACAUAGUGGACGAUUGGCGUAAAGACCCCAGUGCAUAGCGAUGUGUCUUCAUCACCACGGUCUGACAUGAGUGGUCACGCUUCUACCUACAAGCACAUGCAGUGAAAGGGUUAAUUCCCGUUUAGCAUUCAUCACUUCAGGCCCCAAGGAGCUACAGCGUAUUCAGGGUCAGCAGCAGUAAUAUUAUAUCUUAACCUUUUCAGACAAGAUCCAGAGACACUCAGUAACUAGACAUUGUAGCUCUUGAGGGCCGGAGGUUGGCAGACAGCUGCUCCUAGCUGUUGCGCAUGGCCACAUGCACCUUGGGACUCCGGAAACAGAUGGGGCGUCAUCCAGUCCAUUUCGAGCAAACUCACUUUUGUCAAACCUGUCUGUGAGGCGGGCGCGCAUGGUAGCGCCUGGGUCCUGCAGUUCAGAAGCCUCCUGCCUAAUGGUGGUCAACACUAACUGCUCUGUAGGCGACAGAGAGGACGCGGCGGGAGAAAACAACACACACAAGACAACAAGUCAAUAUACACAUACCGCACACAACACAUCUAUGUGUCAGUAACUGCACUGUAAAUGUGUUUGUAUGUGCCUGAAACGGGAGGCAUUCUGUAGUGAGAUGAGAUUCAUGCCUGCAUGUAUGAAAAUGUGGGUCUGAAGGCUUUACACAGAAAUGGACCUGGCUAAAACUUUUGUAGCUUGUCCAGGAGCGCCCCCUUGUGUCCAACUCAUGUAACUACCUCACUGCUGCAAUUUAUUAGGCCUCCCCUUAUCUCCCAAAUGGCAUCUUCAGUAGCUUGGCAGCCAUGACAACCAGUCAUUAUCGUCUCAAACCAGACGUAUUGUUGACAGUUGGCUGAGCUGCAUGACUCACAUUAAAUAACCCGCCAACACAACAUGUGUCCUUAAAUUUGAACACAAAUCCAUAUGGUGAAAUGUGAACUGCCCUAAACAAUCUUUAAAAACCACAAAACAUCUUUACAAGUGUUUGUUUAGCUUAUCACAACACAAAAAUACUUUUUUUUUCCUACAGUAUGAUGGUUUCUUCACCAAUGUCAGAGGUGUUUUUAUGAGCUUGUGAGUACUUAAAUGCAUCACAGGUGGUCUUAGAAAACGCGGUCAGAGUUUGUAUCGCUCGCUUCAUGAAUACAAACAAAAACUGUGAUUCUGUGUGUGACUAAAUGUGACAGAUUGGAGGCUGCAGACGUCAUCGCCAGGGAUGAGGCAGUUCGCUAAUUGGAGCAAAGAAUC
Long non-coding RNA from Scomber japonicus (chub mackerel), 2047 nucleotides. RefSeq lists it as uncharacterized. NCBI's taxonomy places the organism in Eukaryota, Metazoa, Chordata, Actinopteri, Scombriformes, Scombridae. The record is from RefSeq and is a predicted model, not a curated record. The transcript is spliced from 3 exons.